UUCCACACAAAUUUUGAGUCUACUCUUAUUCUUCUAAUAUAAAAGCACAAUAAAUAUAGCUCAUCCUUUUACUGCAAUAUUUUAGCUAUCGUUUGAUUUGGGGUUAAGAAAAAACCAGUUAUUCCAGAGAUAGAGUUAAAUUCAGGAUUAAUAUAGGGUUAGAGUAUUUUUGUAUUUGGUUGGGGGUUGGAGUUAGUUCAGAAUAGUGAAAAAUAGUAUUUGGUUGGAGUAAGUGGGAUAAGAAAGAUAGUCGGUUAUUAUGAAUAGAAAAUUAUAUUUGGUUGGGGUUUGGUGGGGUUAGAUGAGGUUAGCUAACCCGGAAUAGCAUAUUUGAGGUGGGAUUAGCUAACUCCACCCAUUUUUAGGGUGUUUGGAGAUAAUAUGGGGGUUAAGUGGUUAUUCCAUCCUUAAUCCCCAACCAAACAAAAGCUUAUUUGUAUGUAAAAAAAAA
This 451-nucleotide long non-coding RNA is filed under the name Ananas comosus (pineapple). RNAcentral's name for it is "long non-coding RNA (ACOM_LNC029915)". Lineage: Eukaryota; Viridiplantae; Streptophyta; Magnoliopsida; Poales; Bromeliaceae. The record is from RNAcentral.